UGGGGAAUAUUGGACAAUGGGGGGAACCCUGAUCCAGCCAUGCCGCGUGUGUGAAGAAGUCCUUAUGGUUGUCAAGCACUUUAAGCGAGGAGGAGGGUACUGGUAUUAAUACUACCAGGUACUGGACGUUACUCGCAGAAUAAGCACCGGCUAACUCUGUGCCAGCAGCCGCGGUAAUACAGAGGGUGCGAGCGUUAAUCGGAUUUACUGGGCGUAAAGCGUGCGUAGGCGGCUAAUUGAGUCGGAUGUGAAAUCCCCGAGCUUAACUUGGGAAUUGCAUUCGAUACUGGUUCGCUAGGGUGUGGGAGAUGAUGGUAGAAUUCCAGGUGUAGCGGUGAAAUGCGUAGAGAUCUGGAGGAAUACCGAUGGCGAAGGCAGCCAUCUGGCCUAACACUGACGAUGAGGUACGAAAGCAUGGGGAGCAAACAGG
Molecule: ribosomal RNA, 430 nt
Filed under: Pseudomonadota bacterium
Lineage: Bacteria; Pseudomonadati; Pseudomonadota
Description: Proteobacteria bacterium partial 16S ribosomal RNA
Rfam family: Bacterial small subunit ribosomal RNA
Source: RNAcentral